RNAcentral lists this long non-coding RNA (969 nucleotides) under Homo sapiens (human). RNAcentral's name for it is "PREDICTED lncRNA (TCONS_00189026)". The stretch from base 512 to 787 matches the Rfam family "SOX2 overlapping transcript exon 3". Lineage: Eukaryota; Metazoa; Chordata; Mammalia; Primates; Hominidae. The record is from RNAcentral.
GAAUGUUGGGAACCGAUCUGAUUCCAAGGAUUGAGAAGUUUUGCAGUGGUCAACUGGUAUAGACAUCCCAUUACCACUACUUCCUUCAUUGGACUGCAAGGUAUUUCUGUUUGGAAAAGUAAUGGAGUCCAGUCAACUUCAUUGAUCGCCAAGGACUGUCAAAAUUAUAAAACUUGCUGUGGAGCUCUGACAUGCCAGAAGCCGCUAGAAAAAGAAGUUUGACAUUCAGAAACUUAUCAAGAGGUUCUACUCUUUGGAUAGAGACCAAAAUCAUACUUUGAAAAAGCCUGACAGGUUUCUUCGGAAAAGUGGCCAUCCAUGGAAUGAAUGAAAUGUUCUCUUUCUAUUCCACCUCUAGAGACCAUCAAAAAACAAUGGCUCAUAAUGCUUUUAGAACAGAAACUGAAGUUGUAUACUGUGCAUAUGUAAUCCUACACAAGAGGAAGGCAAUGUUUAAAGCUGCUGUCACCUCUUAGGGAAAAAACUGGAAUUCUGAGUCAAGGGAUUGCAGUGGCAAAGCUAGGCUAGGUCUUGGAGGCUGGUGUAAGGCGAUGUGGGUGAAGGCAGGAGGCUGAUGGAAAGACUGGGGGGAAGAAAAGCCGAAAUGGAUUCACGGUGCCUUGGAUGAAGGACGAGAGGGGAACUGCAAGCUCCUUCAACUGGUUCUGUCCGGUGAGAAGUGAUCAAGCUUGGGCUGACAAGAGGCUCAGGGAGCCCUCACGUUCUUUCGCUUUUUUACCUGCCAAUCAAACUGCUACAAGACAACACCCUGAUCUGGCAUGGACAUAAUCAAGCUUUGGUCAUUCCGGAAGUCGUGUAGCAUGCUCCAAUUUGAAGUGACUGAGAUCUUUUGUGACUUACAGAGGAGAAGGAAAUGUUUUAAAAAUUGGCUUAUGCCAGUCUCCUUACUCUGAAAUUCUCAAUUUUCUUGUAUUACAGGAUAAAUAUAAAUAUCAUCUCACCAAAUUG